GACGGGGCCGCACAAGCGGUGGAGUAUGUGGUUUAAUUCGAUGCAACGCGAAGAACCUUACCUGGCUUGACAUCCCGGGAAUUUCCUGGAAACAGGAGAGUGCUUUCAUUAGAGAGAACCUGGAGACAGGUGCUGCAUGGCUGUCGUCAGCUCGUGUCGUGAGAUGUGGUAAGUCCGCAACGAGCGCAACCCUUGCCUUUAGUUGCCAGCAGUUCGGCUGGGCACUCUAAAGGGACUGCCGGUGUCAAACCGGAGGAAGGUGGGGAUGACGUCAAGUCCUCAUGGCCUUUAUGGCCAGGGCUACACACGUACUACAAUGGCCGGUACAAAGGGCAGCGACAUUGCGAGAUGGAGCGAAUCCCGAAAAGCCGGUCUCAGUCCGGAUUGGAGUCUGCAACUCGACUCCAUGAAGUUGGAAUCGCUAGUAAUCGUGGAUCAGCAUGCCACGGUGAAUACGUUCCCGGGCCUU
RNAcentral lists this ribosomal RNA (469 nucleotides) under uncultured Desulfobulbus sp. RNAcentral's name for it is "bacterial SSU rRNA". It matches the Rfam family "Bacterial small subunit ribosomal RNA", at positions 917 to 1381 of the family's 1533-position model. The record is from RNAcentral. Lineage: Bacteria; Pseudomonadati; Thermodesulfobacteriota; Desulfobulbia; Desulfobulbales; Desulfobulbaceae.